This 253-nucleotide ribosomal RNA is filed under the name uncultured bacterium. RNAcentral's name for it is "partial 16S ribosomal RNA". It matches the Rfam family "Bacterial small subunit ribosomal RNA", at positions 524 to 776 of the family's 1533-position model. The record is from RNAcentral.
UGCGAAGGGGGCUAGCGUUGCUCGGAAUCACUGGGCGUAAAGCGCACGUAGGCGGCUUGUUAAGUCAGGGGUGAAAUCCUGGAGCUCAACUCCAGAACUGCCUUUGAUACUGGCGAGCUUGAGUCCGGGAGAGGUGAGUGGAACUGCGAGUGUAGAGGUGAAAUUCGUAGAUAUUCGCAAGAACACCAGUGGCGAAGGCGGCUCACUGGCCCGGUACUGACGCUGAGGUGCGAAAGCGUGGGGAGCAAACAGG